This 242-nucleotide long non-coding RNA is filed under the name Trifolium pratense (red clover). Its description in RNAcentral is "long non-coding RNA (TPRA_LNC000188)". The record is from RNAcentral. Lineage: Eukaryota; Viridiplantae; Streptophyta; Magnoliopsida; Fabales; Fabaceae.
AGAACAAGCAAGGAGAAGCUUUGGGUCUUCCUAUCCACCAUUUCCAAGACGUGAUUUUAACUUCAUCCACCAGUUUUCAAUCCAAAACAAUAUGAAAAUGUUGUUAGAUUCUUGAUUCUAUGCUUAAAACUUGAAUUUUUGGUGUUAAAAUGCCCUAAAAUUGUGUAUUCCAGAUAUGGGUUUCGUGGGUUUUAACCGGGUCGUUUUGACCCGUCUAGAGGUUGAAGGAGAGUUAAAAAAAA